UGGGCAAUCUGCCCUUCACUCUGGGACAAGCCCUGGAAACGGGGUCUAAUACCGGAUAUUACUCCUGCCUGCAUGGGCGGGGGUUGAAAGCUCCGGCGGUGAAGGAUGAGCCCGCGGCCUAUCAGCUUGUUGGUGGGGUAAUGGCCCACCAAGGCGACGACGGGUAGCCGG
This 171-nucleotide ribosomal RNA is filed under the name uncultured bacterium. RNAcentral's name for it is "partial 16S ribosomal RNA". It matches the Rfam family "Bacterial small subunit ribosomal RNA", at positions 118 to 290 of the family's 1533-position model. The record is from RNAcentral.